This 165-nucleotide ribosomal RNA is filed under the name Stipa caucasica subsp. desertorum. Its description in RNAcentral is "5.8S ribosomal RNA". It matches the Rfam family "5.8S ribosomal RNA". From Rfam's summary of the family: 5.8S ribosomal RNA (5.8S rRNA) is a component of the large subunit of the eukaryotic ribosome. It is transcribed by RNA polymerase I as part of the 45S precursor that also contains 18S and 28S rRNA. The record is from RNAcentral. Lineage: Eukaryota; Viridiplantae; Streptophyta; Magnoliopsida; Poales; Poaceae.
CCACACGACUCUCGGCAACGGAUAUCUCGGCUCUCGCAUCGAUGAAGAACGUAGCGAAAUGCGAUACYUGGUGUGAAUUGCAGAAUCCCGCGAACCAUCGAGUCUUUGAACGCAAGUUGCGCCCGAGGCCACCCGGCCGAGGGCACGCCUGCNUGGGCGUCACGC